RNAcentral lists this ribosomal RNA (1032 nucleotides) under uncultured Planctomycetota bacterium. RNAcentral describes it as "bacterial SSU rRNA". It matches the Rfam family "Bacterial small subunit ribosomal RNA", at positions 380 to 1395 of the family's 1533-position model. Lineage: Bacteria; Pseudomonadati; Planctomycetota. The record is from RNAcentral.
GGCCUGACGCAGCAACGCCGCGUGUGGGAGGAAGUCCUUCGGGAUGUAAACCACUGUCAGGGGCCGCCAAGCGACCGCCCACAAUAUGGGCGGAAGUUGAGGAGCCCCAGAGGAAGCCACGGCUAACUUCGUGCCAGCAGCCGCGGUAAGACGAAGGUGGCGAGCGUUGUUCGGAAUCACUGGGCUUAAAGCGCACGUAGGCGGCUCGUUAAGUGUCUUGUGAAAUCCCUCGGCUCAACCGAGGAAUUGCUGGGCAUACUGGCGGGCUUGAGGCAGGUAAGGGCGCGAGGAACUCUUGGUGGAGCGGUGAAAUGCGUAGAUAUCAAGAGGAACGCCGGCGGUGAAGACGUCGCGCUAGGCCUGUCCUGACGCUGAGGUGCGAAAGCCAGGGGAGCAAACGGGAUUAGAUACCCCGGUAGUCCUGGCCGUAAACGAUGUCCACUAGAUUGGGGUCUCUUUGACGGGUUCCUAGUCGUAGCGAAAGCGUUAAGUGGACCGCCUGGGUAGUACGGUCGCAAGGCUAAAACUCAAAGGAAUUGACGGGGGCUCACACAAGCGGUGGAGCAUGUUGCUUAAUUCGAUGCAACGCGAAGAACCUUAUCCUGGGCUUGAAAAGCACGGAUGCGGCCUCUGAAAGGAGUGUCCGCUGCCCUUCGGGGUGAAACGUGUACAGGUGCUGCAUGGCUGUCGUCAGCUCGUGUCGUGAGAUGUCGGGUUAAGUCCCAUAACGAGCGAAACCCUUAUCGUUAGUUGCCAGCGGGUCAUGCCGGGGACUCUAGCGAGACUGCCGGUGUCAAACCGGAGGAAGGUGGGGAUGACGUCAAGUCCUCAUGGCCUUUAUGCCCAGGGCUGCAAACGUGCUACAAUGGGCGGUACAAACCGAUGCGAGACCGCGAGGUGGAGCAAACCGGAAAAAGCCGCCCCCAGUUCAGAUUGCAGUCUGCAACUCGACUGCAUGAAGUUGGAAUCGCUAGUAAUCGCAGAUCAGCUACGCUGCGGUGAAUGAGUUCCUGAGCCUUGUACACACCGCCC